GCGUGAGGGCACGUGAGCCACAAAAAAUUUAUUUUAAAAAUAUCACGAUGUUCGUGAGGUUGUGUAGGUCGCGAUGGUAUAUUCAAAUACCAAAAUUGAGCUUUGUAUGAGAAGUUAUUAGCUAGUUUUGUGUAUGUGCUUUAAAAUAAUGUUUUUAUAGUUAAUUCGUAUAUGUUUAAAUGAUAAUAUGCCAUAAAUGCCAUGCAUAUACAAUUAUGUUUCGUGUAUGAAUUGGUGUGUGAUACCUUAUAUAUUUAAAUGUGGUGCUGUGGAGGCACAUGUAAGUUCAGGUAAGUUAUGUUUGGUUAUGUGAAUCAUCGAUGAUGUGAUAUGUGAUUGAAUAAUGUUGAGCUCAUAAAACUGCACCUAGGGUGAUUGUGAUUUAGCCAGAGAUAUGAAGUACAUGCCUGUUUAUUUAUGUCACCUCCCGCACUAUAUGCUCAUAUUGGAUCCAACUUAAGUGCACAGUCUUGUCGUACAAACCUUAUUUAUGGCUCCGACUCAUAGGUGAUUAGCGAUUUAUCACCCAGCUAUUAUGAGAGAGUAAAAUGGAGCACAAUUAUAUUACACCCAACCUUGUCGUACAAACCCCUUUUUGGUGGUUCCGACUUAUGUGCAGUAUGUUGCCAUAUAGAUCAUUAUAAUGACUCCGGCUAGAGUACCUUUGAGCUAUGAAAUCAGCCGUACAGACUACCUUAGGGGUUCCGGCUAACAUAUCAUAUUUCUAUGAAUUUAUUCUUACCUGAAUUGCUUACUCUAUUAUAUCUUGGCAUGGCAUACAUUUGAAUAUGAUUAUGUGAAGUAUGAAUCGAAUUGAUAUGAUUUCAUAUAUAUAUAUAUAU
RNAcentral lists this long non-coding RNA (842 nucleotides) under Malus domestica (apple). RNAcentral's name for it is "long non-coding RNA (MDOM_LNC015173)". Lineage: Eukaryota; Viridiplantae; Streptophyta; Magnoliopsida; Rosales; Rosaceae. The record is from RNAcentral.